RNAcentral lists this ribosomal RNA (468 nucleotides) under uncultured bacterium. RNAcentral's name for it is "partial 16S ribosomal RNA". It matches the Rfam family "Bacterial small subunit ribosomal RNA", at positions 28 to 507 of the family's 1533-position model. The record is from RNAcentral.
GACGAACGCUGGCGGCGUGCUUAACACAUGCAAGUCGAACGGAAAGGCCCUGCUUUUGUGGGGUGCUCGAGUGGCGAACGGGUGAGUAACACGUGAGUAACCUGCCCUUGACUUUGGGAUAACUUCAGGAAACUGGGGCUAAUACCGGAUAGGAGCUCCUGCUGCAUGGUGGGGGUUGGAAAGUUUCGGCGGUUGGGGAUGGACUCGCGGCUUAUCAGCUUGUUGGUGGGGUAGUGUCUUACCAAGGCUUUGACGGGUAGCCGGCCUGAGAGGGUGACCGGCCACAUUGGGACUGAGAUACGGCCCAGACUCCUACGGGAGGCAGCAGUGGGGAAUAUUGCACAAUGGGCGGAAGCCUGACGCAGCAACGCCGCGUGCGGGAUGACGGCCUUCGGGUUGUAAACCGCUUUCGCCUGUGACGAAGCGUGAGUGACGGUAAUGGGUAAAGAAGCACCGGCUAACUACGUG